Pseudophryne corroboree (corroboree frog) is the source of this 580-nucleotide long non-coding RNA. RefSeq lists it as uncharacterized. NCBI's taxonomy places the organism in Eukaryota, Metazoa, Chordata, Amphibia, Anura, Myobatrachidae. The record is from RefSeq and is a predicted model, not a curated record. The transcript is spliced from 3 exons.
GUUUGCCAGGCUAUGGCCGUGAACAAUAUUUUGAAGAUGAUGAUGAGAACUGCCCCGUACAAAAAGGAUCCUGUUACAGGGCAAUGGGAAUGUGUGACUGUAUAGACAAACGCACCUGCAUUUAUGAUUUCUUCCAGUAUUCUGACUUAUAUUGCAACCCCCGAUAUGAUAGCCCUGAUUAUGAGCAUCUCUUCAUACAGCCCUGUACCCGCAGUGGCUGUGACAUUGUGAAUGACACAUGUGCUUGUACAAGUGGAGGGUGUGAUCGGACUUUUGAAUUCAGUGAUGGCAGAAAUUGUUACCAAACGCUAAUCCAGCGGUUAUGUGCCAAUGUGACUUGUCCAGAGCCGGAAGCCCUUAAAUGUCCCUCUGAUUCAGUGGUCACUAAACCCCAUACACCCUACGGAGAGUGCUGUCCCACCAUACCCAGUAACUGCACCUGUAACUUUGAUGUAUGUAAUAAUAAAUGUCCAAAAGAUAGAAGGAAGGUUAUAAUUCGGGAAGCAGACGGCGUUCCUGGGAGAUGCUGUGACAAAUUUAUGUGUUUGCUGUAAAUAAAGUGUGAAUAAGGCUCCAGGUA